Molecule: ribosomal RNA, 492 nt
Filed under: uncultured bacterium
Lineage: Bacteria
Description: partial 16S ribosomal RNA
Rfam family: Bacterial small subunit ribosomal RNA
Source: RNAcentral
AGUGAACGCUGGCGGUAGGCCUAACACAUGCAAGUCGAACGGCAGCACAGUAAGAGCUUGCUCUUACGGGUGGCGAGUGGCGGACGGGUGAGGAAUACAUCGGAAUCUACUUUUUCGUGGGGGAUAACGUAGGGAAACUUACGCUAAUACCGCAUACGACCUACGGGUGAAAGCAGGGGAUCUUCGGACCUUGCGCGAUUGAAUGAGCCGAUGUCGGAUUAGCUAGUUGGCGGGGUAAAGGCCCACCAAGGCGACGAUCCGUAGCUGGUCUGAGAGGAUGAUCAGCCACACUGGAACUGAGACACGGUCCAGACUCCUACGGGAGGCAGCAGUGGGGAAUAUUGGACAAUGGGCGCAAGCCUGAUCCAGCCAUACCGCGUGGGUGAAGAAGGCCUUCGGGUUGUAAAGCCCUGUUGUUGGGAAAGAACAGCAGCAUGUUAAUACCCCGCUGUUCUGACGGUACCCAAAGAAUAAGCACCGGCUAACUUCGUG